This 265-nucleotide ribosomal RNA is filed under the name Priestia megaterium. RNAcentral describes it as "Bacillus megaterium partial 23S ribosomal RNA". It matches the Rfam family "Bacterial large subunit ribosomal RNA", at positions 2663 to 2925 of the family's 2925-position model. The record is from RNAcentral. Lineage: Bacteria; Bacillati; Bacillota; Bacilli; Caryophanales; Bacillaceae.
UGAGAGGAGCUGUCCUUAGUACGAGAGGACCGGGAUGGACACACCGCUGGUGUACCAGUUGUCUUGCCAAAGGCAUCGCUGGGUAGCUAUGUGUGGACGGGAUAAGUGCUGAAAGCAUCUAAGCAUGAAGCCCCCCUCAAGAUGAGAUUUCCCAUAGCGCAAGCUAGUAAGAUCCCUGAAAGAUGAUCAGGUUGAUAGGUCAGAGGUGGAAGCGUGGCGACAUGUGUAGCUGACUGAUACUAAUCGAUCGAGGACUUAACCAAAC